GCUGACCAGGAACCAGGAGGUGACGCUCAUGUCUGUACCGCUGCGGCUGCUUGUGUUACACACCUACAGGGGUCAGGUCAACGGAGAUCACAUCAAAACACGUUCUGGUGCCCAUUUUGCUCGGCCGAUGUCGGAGGAGGAAGUGAUGUCGGAAUGUUGGCCGGCCUUCCCAGCAGGACAGUUAGCUCUCCCCCGCCCCACCCUUACUACCGCCCUCGCUCGCCUUCCUUCACAUGAGCUGGAAAGGAGGUCAAACAAAAACACGCUGACUGGCAAGUGUCAAUAGCCCCGUGAAAUGAAGUUAUUCUGGCUCUGGCCAGAAACGAAAACAACGUGAGCAGAAUUGAAGUCGUCUGACUGGCUGUAAAUCACAGCACAUGAGAGGUCAUUUUCGUCAUUGAAUUUUCCGCCGCCUUGUCACAAGAUGAAGGUACAACAAUUUUGACUUGCGACUGGAUGGCGAAACGAGCACGAGUUACAUCUUCGUUUCGGUCUUGCUCCUUAAACAUUUCUCACCUUUUUGAAGGAGGCACUGAAAUACGCACGUGCAAAAAGGUAGAAAAGUUUGCCAAAGAGGGAAUUAAGCGCUUGUCUACUUGACCUUGUAAGUACUUGGUAGUACACCAACUCAAUCAUCCCUCGGGUAAAAAUUUUAAUCAACAACAUUCGCCAUCUUUCGUUGUGCCGUAGCGCUUUGCCUCUAUUCUCUAAAAGUGUAAAGCAACAGUCAUGCUACAGCAAAUCAAGAGGAAUGGCCAUCUCAUGCUUUUAGCAGGAAUUCCCCAACCCAUAGACCUCCACACACACACACACACACACACACACACACACACACACACACACACACACACACACACACACACACACACACACACACACACACACACACACACACACACACACACACACACACACACACACAAA
Syngnathus typhle (broad-nosed pipefish) is the source of this 924-nucleotide long non-coding RNA. RefSeq lists it as uncharacterized. Lineage: Eukaryota; Metazoa; Chordata; Actinopteri; Syngnathiformes; Syngnathidae. The transcript is spliced from 2 exons. The record is from RefSeq and is a predicted model, not a curated record.